AUUGAACGCUGGCGGAAUGCUUUACACAUGCAAGUCGAACGGCAGCACGGACUUCGGUCUGGUGGCGAGUGGCGAACGGGUGAGUAAUAUAUCGGAACGGUGCCCAGUCGUGGGGGAUAACGUAGCGAAAGUUACGCUAAUACCGCAUACGAUCUAAGGAUGAAAGCGGGGGAUCGCAAGACCUCGCGCGAUUGGAGCGGCCGAUAUCAGAUUAGGUAGUUGGUGGGGGUAAAGGCUCACCAAGCCAACGAUCUGUAGCUGGUCUGAGAGGACGACCAGCCACACUGGAACUGAGACACGGUCCAGACUCCUACGGGAGGCAGCAGUGGGGAAUUUUUGGGACAAUGGACGCAAGUCUGAUCC
Molecule: ribosomal RNA, 363 nt
Filed under: uncultured bacterium
Lineage: Bacteria
Description: bacterial SSU rRNA
Rfam family: Bacterial small subunit ribosomal RNA
Source: RNAcentral